GAUGAAGAACGCAGCGAAAUGCGAUAAGUAAUGUGAAUUGCAGAAUUCAGUGAAUCAUCGAAUCUUUGAACGCACAUUGCGCCCGCCAGCAUUCUGGCGGGCAUGCCUGUUCGAGCGUCAUUUCAACCCUCAAGCUCUGCUUGGUGUUGGGGCCCUACGGUUGACGUAGGCCCUUAAAGGUAGUGGCGGACCCUCUCGGAGCCUCCUUUGCGUAGUAACUAACGUCUCGCACUGGGAUUCGGAGGGACUCUUGCCGUAAAACCCCCACAUUUUUAAAGGUUGACCUCGGAUCAGGUAGGAAUACCCGCUGAACUUAAGCAUAUCAAUAAGCGGAGGA
RNAcentral lists this unclassified non-coding RNA (337 nucleotides) under soil metagenome. Its description in RNAcentral is "partial contains 5.8S ribosomal RNA, internal transcribed spacer 2, and large subunit ribosomal RNA". The stretch from base 1 to 120 matches the Rfam family "5.8S ribosomal RNA", at positions 35 to 154 of the family's 154-position model. The record is from RNAcentral.